RNAcentral lists this ribosomal RNA (832 nucleotides) under uncultured soil bacterium. RNAcentral describes it as "bacterial SSU rRNA". It matches the Rfam family "Bacterial small subunit ribosomal RNA", at positions 26 to 898 of the family's 1533-position model. The record is from RNAcentral.
AGAGCGAACGCUGGCGGCAUGCUUAACACAUGCAAGUCGCACGGGCAGGGCAACCUGUCAGUGGCGGACGGGUGAGUAACGCGUAGGAAUCUAUCCACGGGUGGGGGAUAACGCCGGGAAACUGGUGCUAAUACCGCAUGAUACCUGAGGGUCAAAGGCGCAAGCCGCCUGUGGAGGAGCCUGCGUCCGAUUAGCUAGUUGGUGGGGUAACUGCCUACCAAGGCGACGAUCGGUAGCUGGUCUGAGAGGAUGAUCAGCCACAUUGGGACUGAGACACGGCCCAAACUCCUACGGGAGGCAGCAGUGGGGAAUAUUGGACAAUGGGCGAAAGCCUGAUCCAGCAAUGCCGCGUGGGUGAAGAAGGUCUUCGGAUUGUAAAGCCCUUUCGGCGGGGACGAUGAUGACGGUACCUGCAGAAGCAGCUGCGGCUAACUACGUGCCAGCAGCCGCGGUAAUACGUAGGCAGCAAGCGUUGUUCGGAGUUACUGGGCGUAAAGGGUGCGUAGGCGGCUCUAUAAGUAUGGUGUGAAAUCUCCCGGCUUAACUGGGAGGGUGCGCUAUAGACUGUGGGGCUAGAGGGUGGGAGAGGAAAGUGGAAUUCCUGGUGUAGCGGUGAAAUGCGUAGAUAUCGGGGAGGAACACCUGUGGCGAAAGCGGCGCACUGGACCAUAACUGACGCUGAGGCGCGAAAGCUAGGGGAGCAAACAGGAUUAGAUACCCUGGUAGUCCUAGCCCUAAACGAUGGAUGCUUGGUGUGAUCGGUACCCAAUCCGAUCGUGCCGUAGCUAACGCGUUAAGCAUCCCGCCUGGGGAGUACGGUCGCAAGGCUGAA